This 229-nucleotide ribosomal RNA is filed under the name Succiniclasticum ruminis DSM 9236. RNAcentral's name for it is "23S rRNA. Bacterial LSU". It matches the Rfam family "Bacterial large subunit ribosomal RNA", at positions 2698 to 2925 of the family's 2925-position model. The record is from RNAcentral. Lineage: Bacteria; Bacillati; Bacillota; Negativicutes; Acidaminococcales; Acidaminococcaceae.
UGGACGGAUCAAUGGUGUACCAAUUAUGCCGCCAGGCGUACCGUUGGGUAGCUACAUCCGGGCAGGAUAAACGCUGAAAGCAUCUAAGCGUGAAACCAACCCCAAGAUGAGAUCUCUCAUGGCGUAAGCCAGUAAGACGCCUUGAAGAAGACAAGGUUGAUAGGCCGGGAGUGUAAGUGCAGCAAUGUAUUGAGCGGACCGGUACUAAUCCGUCGAGGGCUUGAUUUAA